UUCCAAUCCACAAUGACAAAAUAGAACACUGGUUGCUUUUUAUAGUACACAUCGGUGAUGGUAUUGUAGAAAUAUGUGACUCGAUGUUGGACAAACAUGGGUCGUCAACUGGAAGUGGUCUUGUGAAAAUGGUGGUAAGUGUAACUUAGAUUUUGGUGUGGGAUUAAGUUAAUAGUUGCAAAAUAAGAAUGGUAUUUUAAUGAAAUGUUUUAUUGUUAAAUUUGGAAGAGAACUAGUUAAGGUGGGAGUGUAAUAUAUUCAUGAAUUUAGAAGUUGAUGAUUUUGUUAAUUGAUCUUCAGAUGGAGAAGCUUGAUUACUUACUUGCUGACCAAAUAGUCGACAAAAUGGGGCCUUCUUUUUCAUUCACCCGUUUUCAGGUUCAGACAAAUGUUGGAGUUCUUCAACAAUUAAAUGGAUAUGACUGUGGCAUCCACGUCAUUAACCGGAUUGAGGGUCGUCACGAGGUCUAUUUCAAACACUCCGUUGUAAGUGUCUUUUAUAUAUGUCGAAGAGGGUUUAAUUCUGCGAAUGAGAGGAUUCGCAUUGCUCUUGGGCUGGUGACUUCUACGCACAACAAAAUUUGGGGCAAAGUUCAGCUUGGUUUCGAUGUGUGGAAGAAGACGAAGAACCAGGGAAUGAGGGGGGGAUUAAAUAGGAAGUUAUUUUAAGUGCAUUUACAGGGGAGUGUUUGACAGUUGUUAUUUUUUGGGACCGCCUGUAUAUGAUGGAAUUGGUUGCACAAGUACUUCAUCUUUUGGGACCGAUACCGGGCCAUUUUGCUCUUUCUCUACUUCAAAUUUUUACAAGUCGGUUGAAUAUUUCUUUCUAACACAUAACACAAUAUAUGGAUGGUGGACAGUCAUGUGAAGAUAUUUUUUAGUUGUACAGACUAACAUUUGUAGAGA
Molecule: long non-coding RNA, 906 nt
Organism: Humulus lupulus (European hop)
Lineage: Eukaryota; Viridiplantae; Streptophyta; Magnoliopsida; Rosales; Cannabaceae
Exons: 2
Source: RefSeq, a predicted model, not a curated record